This 375-nucleotide non-coding RNA is filed under the name Streptomyces afghaniensis 772. RNAcentral describes it as "Bacterial small subunit ribosomal RNA". It matches the Rfam family "Bacterial small subunit ribosomal RNA", at positions 693 to 1070 of the family's 1533-position model. Lineage: Bacteria; Bacillati; Actinomycetota; Actinomycetes; Kitasatosporales; Streptomycetaceae. The record is from Rfam by way of RNAcentral.
GAUAUCAGGAGGAACACCGGUGGCGAAGGCGGAUCUCUGGGCCGAUACUGACGCUGAGGAGCGAAAGCGUGGGGAGCGAACAGGAUUAGAUACCCUGGUAGUCCACGCCGUAAACGGUGGGCACUAGGUGUGGGCAACAUUCCACGUUGUCCGUGCCGCAGCUAACGCAUUAAGUGCCCCGCGUGGGGAGUACGGCCGCAAGGCUAAAACUCAAAGGAAUUGACGGGGCCGCACAAGCGGCGGAGCAUGUGGCUUAAUUCGACGCAACGCGAAGAACCUUACCAAGGCUUGACAUACACCGGAAACCCUGGAGACAGGUCCCCUUGUCGGUCGUGUACGAGGUGGUGCAGUGGCUGUCGUCAGCUCGUGUCGUGA